This 646-nucleotide ribosomal RNA is filed under the name uncultured bacterium. RNAcentral describes it as "bacterial SSU rRNA". It matches the Rfam family "Bacterial small subunit ribosomal RNA", at positions 188 to 852 of the family's 1533-position model. The record is from RNAcentral.
GCAUGGUAGAUAUGCCAAAGAUUUAUCGCUCAAAGAUGGACUCGCGUCCGAUUAGCCAGUUGGCGGGGUAACGGCCCACCAAAGCGACGAUCGGUAGCCGGACUGAGAGGUUGAACGGCCUCAUUGGGACUGAGACACGGCCCAGACUCCUACGGGAGGCAGCAGUGGGGGAUAUUGCGCAAUGGGGGAAACCCUGACGCAGCAACGCCGCGUGAAGGAUGAAGGUUUUCGGAUUGUAAACUUCUUUUAUUUAGGACGAACAAUGACGGUACUAAAUGAAUAAGCUCCGGCUAACUACGUGCCAGCAGCCGCGGUAAUACGUAGGGAGCAAGCGUUAUCCGGAUUUACUGGGUGUAAAGGGUGCGUAGGCGGCUUGGUAAGUCAGAUGUGAAAUGUAUGGGCUCAACCCAUGUACUGCAUUUGAAACUAUUGAGCUUGAGUGAAGUAGAGGUAGGCGGAAUUCCCUGUGUAGCGGUGAAAUGCGUAGAGAUAGGGAGGAACACCAGUGGCGAAGGCGGCCUACUGGGCUUUAACUGACGCUGAGGCACGAAAGCGUGGGUAGCAAACAGGAUUAGAUACCCUGGUAGUCCACGCUGUAAACGAUGAUUACUAGGUGUGGGGGGUCUGACCCCUACCGUGCCGGAGU